UUACAGGCUUAACACAUGCAAGUCGAGGGGCAGCAUGGUCUUAUCUUGCUAAGGCCGAUGGCGACCGGCGCACGGGUGAGUAACGCGUAUCCAACCUGCCGUCUACUCUUGGACAGCCUUCUGAAAGGAAGAUUAAUACAAGAUGGCAUCAUGAGUCCGCAUGUUCACAUGAUUAAAGGUAUUCCGGUAGACGAUGGGGAUGCGUUCCAUUAGAUAGUAGGCGGGGUAACGGCCCACCUAGUCUUCGAUGGAUAGGGGUUCUGAGAGGAAGGUCCCCCACAUUGGAACUGAGACACGGUCCAAACUCCUACGGGAGGCAGCAGUGAGGAAUAUUGGUCAAUGGGCGAGAGCCUGAACCAGCCAAGUAGCGUGAAGGAUGACUGCCCUAUGGGUUGUAAACUUCUUUUAUAAAGGAAUAAAGUCGGGUAUGGAUACCCGUUUGCAUGUACUUUAUGAAUAAGGAUCGGCUAACUCCGUGCCAGCAGCCGCGGUAAUACGGAGGAUCCGAGCGUUAUCCGGAUUUAUUGGGUUUAAAGGGAGCGUAGAUGGAUGUUUAAGUCAGUUGUGAAAGUUUGCGGCUCAACCGUAAAAUUGCAGUUGAUACUGGAUAGCUUGAGUGCAGUUGAGGCAGGCGGAAUUCGUGGUGUAGCGGUGAAAUGCUUAGAUAUCACGAAGAACUCCGAUUGCGAAGGCAGCCUGCUAAGCUGCAACUGACAUUGAGGCUCGAAAGUGUGGGUAUCAAACAGGAUUAGAUACCCUGGUAGUCCACACGGUAAACGAUGAAUACUCGCUGUUUGCGAUAUACUGCAAGCGGCCAAGCGAAAGCGUUAAGUAUUCCACCUGGGGAGUACGCCGGCAACGGUGAAACUCAAAGGAAUUGACGGGGGCCCGCACAAGCGGAGGAACAUGUGGUUUAAUUCGAUGAUACGCGAGGAACCUUACCCGGGCUUAAAUUGCAGAUGAAUUACGGUGAAAGCCGUAAGCCGCAAGGCAUCUGUGAAGGUGCUGCAUGGUUGUCGUCAGCUCGUGCCGUGAGGUGUCGGCUUAAGUGCCAUAACGAGCGCAACCCUUGUUGUCAGUUACUAACAGGUUCCGCUGAGGACUCUGACAAGACUGCCAUCGUAAGAUGUGAGGAAGGUGGGGAUGACGUCAAAUCAGCACGGCCCUUACGUCCGGGGCUACACACGUGUUACAAUGGGGGGUACAGAGGGCCGCUACCACGCGAGUGGAUGCCAAUCCCCAAAACCUCUCUCAGUUCGGACUGGAGUCUGCAACCCGACUCCACGAAGCUGGAUUCGCUAGUAAUCGCGCAUCAGCCACGGCGCGGUGAAUACGUUCCCGGGCCUUGUACACACCGCCCGUCAAGCCAUGGGAGCCGGGGGUACCUGAAGUGCGUAACCGCGAGGAGCGCCCUAGGGUAAAACUGGUGACUGGGGC
Molecule: ribosomal RNA, 1437 nt
Filed under: uncultured organism
Description: SSU rRNA
Rfam family: Bacterial small subunit ribosomal RNA
Source: RNAcentral